GAAAAAACAAAGCAGGAUGGCUGGGCUGUAGGGAUCUGCAGAUGCUGUUUUGUGAUCGUGGAAGACGUUUGGAAGGGUGAGGAGUGGGGCAGUCACCCGGGCAGGAGCACUGAGGGCGAGAUCUCAUUGGCGCUUCUCUCCAUUUUGGAAGGCCACCUUGUGCUGUAGAGCAAGGCUCAGCCCUCCACUUCAAGGAAUCAACUCUUCUGCUUCAAUUGACAUUUAGUGGGUGUUGCAAAUGCAACUUAACUUUGACUCUGACUUUUCCUCUGAAAAAUGGCUGUGGCUUUCAAUCUGUGGGAAGUCCGUCUUAGUCAGAAUCGAAGCUAUUUUCAGCAUAGAGUGUACCUAGGUCUGGGCUUAUACAAAGGUGCCUUUGUAGUGCAUUCUCCUGGAAACUCCUGGGACAGAAUUCAUCCAGGAAAAGAGAACCCAGGCCCCAUGAGUGGCCCACAGCAGGUGUCUUGGAGUCAUAAUCUAGCAACCUGCCUCUCAGGGCCCAUCUCUCAGAUUUCCUUCUGGUUCAGCCACGGGGACGCCUGAAAGUCUGUUCAAGAGCAGCUUAUCCAGAAUCUAGGUGAGACCUAGAAGCCCACGUCACAGCAGCAUUGGAACCCACAUUGUAGAAUGUCACCCCAGGAGAAACAGAGGGUUCUCCCCAGUGACAGAGAAGGUGGAGUGCUUUGGUGCCACUUUGGGCAGUUUGGGGCAGCUUUGGCAGCCUGUGGCUUCAGUGGCAGCAGCCACCGGGGAGGGUGGCAUUGGCAAUAGCAGGAGGUCAGACACACAGUGGCUUUAUGGAACCCUGUGUGGCUUGAUCAUACCUUUUCAAUCUGUUGAUGCACUUUCAUGGGCAUGAGCAACUUCUGCUGUAGUUCUUUCUAGAAAUCCAGGGCUAUAGAGGAAAAAAUGGUGUACCCCCAGGCUAGCUGAGAGGACAGUCUCCCGAGUACAUACCAGAUACCUCCAAAGGACUCCCAGAAACUGUUGGGGGGACUUUGAAGAUGGAGAGGGCUAAGGGGCCUGCAAUAGCAGGCUGGAAAAAAUUACGGAUAUUGUGUGUGAACCUCUUUCCCUCAGGCCAGUGCUUCCUGAGAGACUAGGCUUACACACAGAUUAAGAACAGGUGAGGUUUUCUUUUUCCACUUUUUCACAGCAUCCCUGGCAUUCCAUUUGGUAAUGAGCACAAGCUGCAGCAGCAAUGACGGAAUGGUCUUCUGACAUCAUCCCUGCCCAUUUAUUGGUUUGACACUUGUUCGGCUCAAUGCAGCCUGUUGAGGCCUCUGCAGAGUCAGUCUGUUAGAGCCUGUCAGCAUGAGGGGAUGUGUGCUUCCAGAGCUGAUAGUACAAACAGGAAAUGUUGGAUUGAGUUUUGUUAGAAGCCUCAAAGCUGAGAACAGUACAACGGUUGCCCAGGACAGCCUCAUCUGGAGCAAGGGGCUAGACUCCCCACUUACAGAACAUGCUCAUGAAUUGUGAAGCUUGUCCUGCCAGCUUCAGCCCAAGAGCCGUGCCUAGGCUAUAGAAGAAGAGAUGAAAGAGGUUAAUAGAAAACUUAACUCAAUCUGGAUGAAACAAGUGGAAUUUGUUGCCUCUUAGCCAAUAAAAUGGAAGUCCAAAGGUAUUUAUGGAGCAUUGUUUUAUGGUGAUGAAUAGGACAGGGAAAGCCUCUGUUUUCAUGGUGCUCAUACGUUCAAGGAAGAGAGUCACCAAAUUCUGCCUGCAGAGCUUACAGCCUUGUGCCUUCCACUCAGGAGGUGUUCAAUCAACAGUUGUUAAACGAGGGAUGAUGAUCUCAUAUAGACCUACAGAAUCUCAGAGCUGAGGAUUAUCAACCACAUUAUACAGAAAGGUCGAGUCACUUGACUAAGGAGGACGAUGAGCCAAGAGCGCAGUUGGAGUUCAGUCAGAUGGAGCAUUCCUGGUGCUGCCUCCUUGCGUGAAAGAUAUUGUCAUGAGAAAGUCACAUGCAAAUGAAGGAGGCUGUAAUUAGGAGAGGAAAAAUAACAUCACCAUGGGAGACGUUGGCUGAGAGGUUCAGGAAGAUUUGUGCACUGAACAAAGGUUGCAGUCUCUCUGUAUGGAAGACAUCAGGAACUAUUCCUCUCAUGACUUUAUUAAAUUGGCCUGAAUUAUCAGCAACUGUGAUCCCUCAGUCCAGGAGAAGAAAGCUUCUUAAAGAGCAGCCCUAUAGAGAGGCCCAAGCAGCAAGGAGCUGAUAUCUCCAGCCAACAGCCAACAAGGACCUGUGGCCUGUCUGCAGUCAUAUGAGGAGCUUGAACUUCUGAACAUUUACUCAAAGAGAGUGACAAGAUCUCUGGCCUGGAGGGACAGGUAUUUUCAGCUCUAAUGGUCCCCAAGCAGUGGAGACAGAGAUGGGACAGUGAGGACCUGAGGCCAAAAAUCCUAGCUCUGAGAGCUGUUGAGGGUGUGUGCCAGAUGCUGCAAAGAGAAAAAGACUCAACUCUUCCUAAAGAGUUCACAAAAAAUUGGGGGAAUAACACAUCAGAUGACUCAAUUUCAUCGAAUGGAACCCACUCACCCCCGAAAGCAUCUAAUACUCAGCCAGUUCCAACAGAACAAUGGUAACAUGGUGGUCAGUAGGGCUGUCCCUUCUGGGAACAUGGCAGGACUGCCCUUCCCUCUCCUUUGAAGCUAGGUGUGGCCAUGUGACUUGGUUUGGCCAAUGAAACGUGAGUGGAAGUGACAUGUACCCCUCCUGAGAAGAAGCUUUAAGAGAGGCCUCCUCAUCUCCAGGCUUACAUUCCGAUGCAAGGCAACUACGGAGGAAAGAAAAAUCCCUCUCCCAAAAUUCUAGCAAAAGGUCUUUAGAGAACCAUCCCUCCCCAACCUUCAGUCCAUAUCAUUUAGUGUGACUUUCCCUGAAAAGGAGCAAAUGGUGCUGGGCAGGCAAUGGCAACAUGUCCCUGCACAUGUGGAAUGACAGAGGCCGUGGAUAACUGAGAACUUCUGUGAAGCUGACAAAGAGCCUGAGAACUCUAAAAUCUGCAGUUGCCAGAGUGGUAAAAAUAAACAACAACCCCCAAAAUGAAUACCAGAUCUGUUGUCAAACAUCAUCAUGGAAUCGAAGAUGGCAAAGUUCCAGAUGGAAAUCCUUGGGCUUGCACGAGUGUUGGAAGGAUUUCUUAGUUGUAUUUCCUUUUUGUCCUCGCUCUUCCUUGCCUGAGUUCCUCUUACUGUCCAUUCCUCAGCUGUGCUGCAUGCUGAGUUUCAUGCGCAGAUGCAUUUUCCCCAGACCCGCAGACACCAGACACACACACACUCUUUGCUUUUGUCUUCCGAGUGGUGGUAAAGGGAGCUCUGGCUUAGGGGUCAGGAGCCCUGGCCUCUCAUUCAGCUCUGCUCCCCGUGAACUUCAGAGCACCACCACAUUGCUUUGGAUCUGUGUCCCCAUCUGAAAAACGUGGCCUUGGACCAGAUAAUUCCAGACACUCUUCCUACUUUCACACUGUUCUUGGUUCCAGCUCCCCUCUCCCACAAGGCUCCAGCUUCCUCUCUUAAUUCCACCCUCUGGCCCAGAGCCCUGGACCCUUCCCUGAGCUCAGCACGGCCCCAGCCCCAGCCCCACAGUGUACCCCCUCCCCGUGGCUCCCCGGUGCUCCGAGCAGCUGCUCCCCUGCAUUCCACCAGCAGCACCUGCAAAUUCUCAGGCCUGUCCUUAAAACAGGCAAUAUCUUCCAGCCAUUCAUUCAUGCCUCAUGCCUCAAAUGGGAUCCUUUAAAGGCAAAAAUGCAGAAACUUAUAUAAAUACUCACUCAAAUAAAACAAGAGCAUACAAGACACCGUGGCAUGUUGCCAAGAAAAUACCCAAGUCGGCCUUGAGGCCUUAUUUCGCACAGCUCGCUGCCUUCAUGGCAGAGUGGUUUAGUGGGUGAGAGACACAUCUGGAGUCUGACAGGGCCAGGCUUGCCACCAGGGUUGGUCUGCCACUUGGCUGCCGGGUCACCUUGCACGAGGUUCUUAAUCUCGCAAUGCGCCUCAGUUCCUUAUAGUAAAACGGUGGUGGUAACCACAGCCCCUGGUUUCCCUCCUGGGGCUGUGAGGGUGAGAGGAGAUCAUGCGUGUAAGGCACGUGCAUGGGGCUGGCCCCCAGCAGGCUCGUUGAUCACUGGACAUUAUUAUCUUCUGCAACAAGAAGCUCUAUGGAAUAUUACAGAGCUUUUAAAGAAAGCGAGCUCAGGCCGUGCUCAACAAUAAAAGCAAGGUGAAGAACA
Long non-coding RNA from Equus asinus (donkey), 4235 nucleotides. Lineage: Eukaryota; Metazoa; Chordata; Mammalia; Perissodactyla; Equidae. The record is from Ensembl.